AUUUAUUAAUUGGAAUACAUUAGCUGUCCCUCAGGGCCAUCAUUCAUCCGGAACACAAAAUAUAUUUUGUUAAUAUAAACAUUAAAAGUAAGAAUGAGAUCAAAGAAACCUGAAAAAAGCAGCGACAAAAAUAGCCUUCUGUAGCCGACAAUAGCUGCGCCUUCUCCAUCUUGUGAAAACUCUUUUCGUGACUUUUCCCUCUCUUCGAAGCGUGAGUGGCGGCUGGAUUUGGUGUUUCUGUUCCCAUUGCUUAUUAGAACAAGUAGAAGUUGAAGUCCCCUUCUCUGGUAUCUGGAUCUCAAAUCAAGGAAUUAAGCAGAGAUACGAUCAUGACGGGAGGGAAUUUCAUGUGCAGAGUUGUAUCUUAUCUCAUAAAUGAGGUUCUUGUCAACAGUCUUGCUAAUAGUCCUGCAUUCCAAAGAUUUGCGGUCGGACUUCGAAGAAGAUGGAAGAUAUUUCAAGUUUAGCUGUUCGGAAGAGGCAAGAACUUGCUGAGCAGAUGAAAGACUUCUCAAAGGAUCUUGAAGUUAGUUAUCAUGACAAACCUACAAACUUUUUGGCUAAUGUUAGUUGGCUUUUCAAUUGUGCAUGCAAAUUGCUUAGCUUGCAGUCUGUCAAAAAUCAGUGAUGCAUCUGGUCGCCGAGGUGAUCAAGUGACUGAAGUAGACAAUAUGCUGGUCGUUCUUUUUCUUGUCCUACCUCUCAAUUGCAGAUGGAAAA
Molecule: non-coding RNA, 720 nt
Organism: Carica papaya (papaya)
Lineage: Eukaryota; Viridiplantae; Streptophyta; Magnoliopsida; Brassicales; Caricaceae
Source: RefSeq, a predicted model, not a curated record